Molecule: ribosomal RNA, 253 nt
Filed under: uncultured bacterium
Lineage: Bacteria
Description: partial 16S ribosomal RNA
Rfam family: Bacterial small subunit ribosomal RNA
Source: RNAcentral
UACGUAGGGGGCUAGCGUUGUCCGGAAUCAUUGGGCGUAAAGCGCGUGUAGGCGGCCCGGUAAGUCCGCUGUGAAAGUCCAGGGCUCAACCCUGGGAUGCCGGUGGAUACUGUCGGGCUCGAGUCCGGAAGAGGCGAGUGGAAUUCCUGGUGUAGCGGUGAAAUGCGCAGAUAUCAGGAGGAACACCAAUAGCGAAGGCAGCUCGCUGGGACGUGACUGACGCUGAGACGCGAAAGCGUGGGGAGCAAACAGG